GACGAACGCUGGCGGCGUGCUUAACACAUGCAAGUCGAACGGAAAGGCCCUGCUUUUGUGGGGUGCUCGAGUGGCGAACGGGUGAGUAACACGUGAGUAACCUGCCCUUGACUUUGGGAUAACUUCAGGAAACUGGGGCUAAUACCGGAUAGGAGCUCCUGCUGCAUGGUGGGGGUUGGAAAGUUUCGGCGGUUGGGGAUGGACUCGCGGCUUAUCAGCUUGUUGGUGGGGUAGUGGCUUACCAAGGCUUUGACGGGUAGCCGGCCUGAGAGGGUGACCGGCCACAUUGGGACUGAGGUACGGCCCAGACUCCUACGGGAGGCAGCAGUGGGGAAUAUUGCACAAUGGGCGGAAGCCUGAUGCAGCAACGCCGCGUGCGGGAUGACGGCCUUCGGGGUGGAAACCGCUUUCGCCUGUGACGAAGCGUGAGUGACGGUAAUGGGUAAAGAAGCACCGGCUAACUACGUG
Molecule: ribosomal RNA, 468 nt
Filed under: uncultured bacterium
Lineage: Bacteria
Description: partial 16S ribosomal RNA
Rfam family: Bacterial small subunit ribosomal RNA
Source: RNAcentral